Molecule: ribosomal RNA, 483 nt
Filed under: uncultured bacterium
Lineage: Bacteria
Description: bacterial SSU rRNA
Rfam family: Bacterial small subunit ribosomal RNA
Source: RNAcentral
UUGAACGCUGGCGGCAGGCCUAACACAUGCAAGUCGAGCGGUAGAGAAAGUCUUGUCUUUUCUUGAGAGGCGGCGGACGGGUGAGUAUGCCUAGGAAUCUGCCUGGUAGUGGGGAUAACGUUCGGAAACGGACGCUAAUACCGCAUACGUCCUACGGGAGAAAGUGGGGGAUCUUCGGACCUCACGCUAUCAGAUGAGCCUAGGUCGGAUUAGCUAGUUGGUGAGGUAAUGGCUCACCAAGGCGACGAUCCGUAACUGGUCUGAGAGGAUGAUCAGUCACACUGGAACUGAGACACGGUCCAGACUCCUACGGGAGGCAGCAGUGGGGAAUAUUGGACAAUGGGCGCAAGCCUGAUCCAGCCAUGCCGCGUGUGUGAAGAAGGUCUUCGGAUUGUAAAGCACUUUAAGUUGGGAGGAAGGUCAGUAACCUAAUACGUUGCUGAUUUGACGUUACCGACAGAAUAAGCACCGGCUAACUACGUG